This 492-nucleotide ribosomal RNA is filed under the name uncultured bacterium. RNAcentral's name for it is "partial 16S ribosomal RNA". It matches the Rfam family "Bacterial small subunit ribosomal RNA", at positions 29 to 507 of the family's 1533-position model. The record is from RNAcentral.
AGUGAACGCUGGCGGUAGGCCUAACACAUGCAAGUCGAACGGCAGCACAGUAAGAGCUUGCUCUUACGGGUGGCGAGUGGCGGACGGGUGAGGAAUACAUCGGAAUCUACUUUUUCGUGGGGGAUAACGUAGGGAAACUUACGCUAAUACCGCAUACGACCUACGGGUGAAAGCAGGGGAUCUUCGGACCUUGCGCGAUUGAAUGCGCGGAUGUCGGAUUAGCUAGUUGGCGGGGUAAAGGCCCACCAAGGCGACGAUCCGUAGCUGGUCUGAGAGGAUGAUCAGCCACACUGGAACGGAGACACGGUCCAGACUCCUACGGGAGGCAGCAGUGGGGAAUAGUGGACAAUGGGCGCAAGCCUGAUCCAGCCAUACCGCGUGGGUGAAGAAGGCCUUCGGGUUGUAAAGCCCUUUUGUUGGGAAAGAAAAGCAGCAGGUUAAUACCCCGCUGUUCUGACGGUACCCAAAGAAUAAGCACCGGCUAACUUCGUG